CAGUCGCCACGGGAAUACGAAGGGUGCAAGCGUUAAUCGGAAUUACUGGGCGUAAAGCGUGCGUAGGCGGUGAGUUAAGUCUGCUGUGAAAUCCCCGGGCUCAACCCCGGAACUGCCCUUGAAACUGCUAGGCUAGAAUCUUGGAGAGGCGAGUGGAAUUCCGAGUGUAGAGGUGAAAUUCGUAGAUAUUCGGAAGAACACCAGUGGCGAAGGCGACUCGCUGGACAAGUAUUGACGCUGAGGUGCGAAAGCGUGGGGAGCAAACAGGAUUAGAUACCCCAGUAGUCCCUGUCUCUUAUAC
RNAcentral lists this ribosomal RNA (301 nucleotides) under uncultured bacterium. Its description in RNAcentral is "partial 16S ribosomal RNA". It matches the Rfam family "Bacterial small subunit ribosomal RNA", at positions 509 to 807 of the family's 1533-position model. The record is from RNAcentral.